GUUUGUAACCAAUUAUUUUUCCUCUUGGUAGCUAUCUGGUGCUGAUUUGGAUGCUCAAUCUAAUGUAUCAAACACAAACAAAGGAGGAAUUAAGUGUAAGAUAUUGGAUUGGUUUUCAAAAGAUGAAGUUGUUGUCGGGGAAUCAGACAACAACUCUCCAACUGAGCAUAACAUGAUCUUUUAAGAAGUAAAUUUGCAUGUGCAGCUGCCAUCAAUUAUGGGGAAAUGGAUGACAUGAACGCUGCAAACAUGAUCUUGGUUGGUAUCCCCCUUGACGAACCACACUUGAAGAAUCAUCUGUCUAUUCUCGUAAAUACAGAGAAGAAUGAUCUCAAAGCAUGAAGUCUUCCUGUGACCGAAUCAUACUAUCUCAUGGGCACAGUAGAUCCCACCGGAGAGCUAAAGGAAGAUGAAGUAUGUGUCAUCCUGUAUGUUACUCCCCUAUUCUCUUACUUUCAUUUUGAUUUUUACAUGGAAACAAGAAACAGUGAUUUGCUUUUAGUUGUUCAUUUCAGGGUAAUCCUGCAAAACUCACUUCGAUAACAUAUGUCUUAGUAUGUAACAAUCUGGUAUUCUUAAAGAGAUAUGUGAAGAAUCACGAUGACAAGCAGCUGGUGACUGAGUUGAUGGCUAUAUAUCGUGCAUCAUAGAUUAUAAGGCUUGUCUAGGAUCUUGGUUUGUAUCUUUGAAUAUCUGAAAAACCUCAAUUUUAGGCUUUUUAAAUAUCAAUUUGAUCCGGAUCGGAACCGUUUCUCUCACUCUCUCUCUAUAUAUGCUUAAAGUUGUAUUUUUGAAUCUCUUUUUUGAUAUAUUAGCGUAGAAACAACAAUGCAGCCAAAGAGAAAGAGCUGAAGGGGACAUGUGAAUCCAAAUUCUA
Molecule: long non-coding RNA, 877 nt
Organism: Arabidopsis lyrata subsp. lyrata
Lineage: Eukaryota; Viridiplantae; Streptophyta; Magnoliopsida; Brassicales; Brassicaceae
Exons: 2
Source: RefSeq, a predicted model, not a curated record